Molecule: ribosomal RNA, 253 nt
Filed under: uncultured bacterium
Lineage: Bacteria
Description: partial 16S ribosomal RNA
Rfam family: Bacterial small subunit ribosomal RNA
Source: RNAcentral
UACGUAGGGGGCAAGCGUUAUCCGGAAUUACUGGGUGUAAAGGGUGAGUAGGCGGCAUGGUAAGCCAGAUGUGAAAGCCUUGGGCUUAACCCGAGGAUUGCAUUUGGAACUAUCAAGCUAGAGUACAGGAGAGGAAAGCGGAAUUCCUAGUGUAGCGGUGAAAUGCGUAGAUAUUAGGAAGAACACUAGUGGCGAAGGCGGCUUUCUGGACUGAAACUGACGCUGAGGCACGAAAGCGUGGGGAGCGAACAGG